CAGCCGCCGCCUUCUCCUCCGUUUCUUCUUCCAAGACAGAAGUUUGUAUCCCAGUAUCACGCAGUUGAAGAGUAGCAGCAGAACAACACAAGCUGAUUUCUUCAGAAAGUGUGUUCGGUCAAAUGCGGCCUGUGUUGUCUUUCUGCUUUGGUGCUGUGACCAAAAAGAAGUCUGAAAUUUGCCUGGGCCACCUCCCCACUUCGAGAAAAAAAGCAGUUGAAGGUCAUCUUGGUUUAUAGAAUGGAAACAGACUCACUCAGAUAUUUCACUGUACCGAACAGUUUCAUCCAAAAAGCUGCUCAGUGAAAACAUUUAAAACACCCAGGAUGACAUUUCCAAGCCUCCUCUAUUUAUUACCUUGGUCAAGACUGCAUUCUGUUCCUCAGCUCUAAACAUUAGAUAUGUGUGUCUUUGCAGUUCUGUGCUCCGUACACAAAGCCAAACUGUUUUACAUGUGAGGAACUCAUCUGUCCUGUUCACAAGCUGAGUACCCGUCCAUCUUUCUCUAGGCCCCCACCAGGCCGGUUAGUUUGAAGGACACAGUGACCUACCUUGCCA
This is a long non-coding RNA of Polyodon spathula (Mississippi paddlefish), 558 nucleotides long. RefSeq lists it as uncharacterized. The record is from RefSeq and is a predicted model, not a curated record. The transcript has 3 exons. Lineage: Eukaryota; Metazoa; Chordata; Actinopteri; Acipenseriformes; Polyodontidae.